GCCGAAGUGGUGGAAUGGUAGACACGACGGUCUCAAAAACCGUUGGGGCAACCCGUGGGGGUUCGAGUCCCCCCUUCGGCACCA
This 84-nucleotide transfer RNA is filed under the name Capsulimonadaceae bacterium. Its description in RNAcentral is "tRNA-Leu". It matches the Rfam family "tRNA". Rfam says of the family: Transfer RNA (tRNA) molecules are approximately 80 nucleotides in length. Their secondary structure includes four short double-helical elements and three loops (D, anti-codon, and T loops). Further hydrogen bonds mediate the characteristic L-shaped molecular structure. tRNAs have two regions of fundamental functional importance: the anti-codon, which is responsible for specific mRNA codon recognition, and the 3' end, to which the tRNAs corresponding amino acid is attached (by aminoacyl-tRNA synthetases). tRNAs cope with the degeneracy of the genetic code in two manners: having more than one tRNA (with a specific anti-codon) for a particular amino acid; and 'wobble' base-pairing, i.e. permitting non-standard base-pairing at the 3rd anti-codon position. The record is from RNAcentral. RNAcentral also lists the same sequence under 1 other name. Lineage: Bacteria; Bacillati; Armatimonadota; Armatimonadia; Capsulimonadales; Capsulimonadaceae.